GAUGAAGAACGCAGCGAAAUGCGAUAAGUAAUGUGAAUUGCAGAAUUCAGUGAAUCAUCGAAUCUUUGAACGCACAUUGCGCCCGCUAGUAUUCUGGCGGGCAUGCCUGUUCGAGCGUCAUUUCAACCAUCAAGCCCUUUAGCUUGUGUUGGGGACCUGCGGCUGCCGCAGCCCCCGAAAUGCAGUGGCGGGCUCGUUGUCACACCGAGUGCAGUAAUCAUUCUUCUCUCCGGGCGUGGCGGCGGGUUCCGGCCGUAUAAUCACCAAUUUAUCAAGGUUGACCUCGGAUCAGGUAGGAAUACCCGCUGAACUUAAGCAUAUCAAUAAGCGGAGGA
This 335-nucleotide unclassified non-coding RNA is filed under the name soil metagenome. Its description in RNAcentral is "partial contains 5.8S ribosomal RNA, internal transcribed spacer 2, and large subunit ribosomal RNA". The stretch from base 1 to 120 matches the Rfam family "5.8S ribosomal RNA", at positions 35 to 154 of the family's 154-position model. The record is from RNAcentral.